Molecule: ribosomal RNA, 267 nt
Filed under: uncultured Burkholderia sp.
Lineage: Bacteria; Pseudomonadati; Pseudomonadota; Betaproteobacteria; Burkholderiales; Burkholderiaceae
Description: partial 16S ribosomal RNA
Rfam family: Bacterial small subunit ribosomal RNA
Source: RNAcentral
GGUGGCGAGUGGCGAACGGGGGGCACGUGUCCUAGAGUGGGGGAUAGCCCGGGAGAAGGAUUAAUACCGCAUACGCUCGAGAGAGGAAAGCGGGGGAUCUGACCUCGCGCUCAAGGGGCGGCCGAUGGCGGAUUAGCUAGUUGGUAGGGUAAAGGCCUACCAAGGCGACGAUCCGUAGCUGGUCUGAGAGGACGACCAGCCACACUGGGACUGAGACACGGCCCAGACUCCUACGGGAGGCAGCAGUGGGGAAUUUUGGACAAUGGG